RNAcentral lists this ribosomal RNA (306 nucleotides) under Triticum aestivum (bread wheat). Its description in RNAcentral is "partial small subunit ribosomal RNA". Lineage: Eukaryota; Viridiplantae; Streptophyta; Magnoliopsida; Poales; Poaceae. The record is from RNAcentral.
AUGCCAAGCCACAAAUUUGCCUGCCCCGAGGGAGUUCUCCACGCCCGGAUCAACGACGUUCGCCAGGCGGUCACCGUCGAGUCGAUUCGCGAGUUGUUCCGUCGCUCCGGUGAUGGGAAUGUGAUCUGCGCUUACGAGCGGGUGGUGGACGGGAUGUACGGCGUGGAGGCAUAUGUCGAGUUCCGGUCACGAUGGAGGGCGACCCGAGCUCGAGAUGCCCUGGAUGGCCAUGCCAUCUACGAGGGGUGUUGCAUCCUUGCCGUGGACCUCCUACCACCGACCUACACCACCAUCCAUGCCGGAUGA